RNAcentral lists this ribosomal RNA (907 nucleotides) under Belonia russula. RNAcentral describes it as "eukaryotic LSU rRNA". It matches the Rfam family "Eukaryotic large subunit ribosomal RNA", at positions 193 to 1119 of the family's 3401-position model. The record is from RNAcentral. Lineage: Eukaryota; Fungi; Ascomycota; Lecanoromycetes; Ostropales; Gyalectaceae.
CAACGGGGCGUCAUAGAGGGUGAGAAUCCCGUACGCGACCGCCCGCCAACUCGAUGCGAGGCCCUUUCGACGAGUCGAGUUGUUUGGGAAUGCAGCUCAAAAUGGGUGGUAAAUUUCAUCUAAAGCUAAAUACCGGCCAGAGACCGAUAGCGCACAAGUAGAGUGAUCGAAAGAUGAAAAGCACUUUGGAAAGAGAGUUAAAAAGUAUGUGAAAUUGUUGAAGGGGAAGCGCUUGCAACCAGACUCGCCCGCGGGUGAUCAGCCUCCCUCCGGGGUGGUGCACUCAUCCGCGAUCGGGCCAGCAUCGGUUUCGACCGCCGGAAGAAGGCUCGGGGAACGUAGCUCCCUCCGGGGAGUGUUAUAGCCCCUUGCGCAAUGCGGCGUGCCGGGACCGAGGACCGCGCGUAUGCAAGGAUGCUGGCGUAAUGGUUGCCAGCGACCCGUCUUGAAACACGGACCAAGGAGUCGACCAACCAUGCGAGUGUUUGGGCGCCAAACCCACACGCGUAAUGAAAGUGAACGGGGUGGGAGCCCUCUUCUGGGUGCACCAUCGACCGAUCCUGAUGUCUUCGGAUGGAUUUGAGUAUGAGCAAGGCUGGUCGGACCCGAAAGAUGGUGAACUAUGCCUGAGUAGGGUGAAGUCAGGGGAAACCCUGAUGGAGGCUCGCAGCGGUUCUGACGUGCAAAUCGAUCGUCAAACUUGGGUAUAGGGGCGAAAGACUAAUCGAACCAUCUAGUAGCUGGUUCCUGCCGAAGUUUCCCUCAGGAUAGCAGUAACUUUUUCAGUUUUAUGAGGUAAAGCGAAUGAUUAGAGGUCUGGGGGCAGAAACUGCCUUCACCUAUUCUCAAACUUUGAAUAUGUAAGAAGUCCUUGUUGCUUAGUUGAACGUGGACAUUGAAUGUACAG